Non-coding RNA from Myodes glareolus (Bank vole), 2340 nucleotides. The record is from RefSeq and is a predicted model, not a curated record. Lineage: Eukaryota; Metazoa; Chordata; Mammalia; Rodentia; Cricetidae.
CGUGGCCGCGCUCCUCACCGCCGCCGAGGCCGGGCUGUAAUUAGGAUAAUUGCGCGGCUCCGCGCCUGGGGCAGUUGCAGGACCCUAACUGCGCAGCGCUGGCCGGGGAUGGGCAGGGACAGUGAGGGGGGCGGGGGCUGAAAGUGUCGCAGCCUGGUCCUCCAGACAGGUGUUUUGUGUGCAUCUACGUCUAUGCAGCAUGUGUGUGCCUGGUGCCCUUGGAGACCAGAAGUGGACAUCACAUGCCCCAGAAGUAGAGUUACAGAUGCUCAUGAUACACCAUGAACAUAUCCAAAGGAAAGGAAGCCAUCGGACGAAGGAGACAUGAUGUGCCCAUGUUUGCUGCAACUCUUCACAUGGCUCGGCAUGUAUCUGCUGCAUGAAUGGAUAAAGGAAGUGUGUUGCACAUGAACGUGGAAUAGUAUUCAGUCAUAAAAACUCCCAAAGUGAACCAGAGGACAUUAUGUUAUGUGAAAUAACUCAGACACAGAGAGACACACAUCAAAUGUUCUCUUUGAUCUGUGUAAGAGAGGAAAAAGUUAAUCUGGGCCUGGGAAGACGGCUCGGUGAGUAAGAGUGCUUUCCGUACAGGUAUGAGGACCUGGGUUCAAAUCCACAAAAUCCAUGUAAGAAACGGUGUACCAUGUACCUGUAGCCUGGAGCUGUGUAUGUAUGUGUGUGUGCACACGGGUGGAGACAGGAGAAUCGCUGGGGCUUGCUGGUUGACGGCCUCACUUCAGGUUCAAGGGAAUAAUGUGAAGAGAGAUCAAGACACCAUGUAAUGUCUUCCUUCGGCCUCUUGAAGUAUGUCCACAGGUAUGCAUCCUGUACACACAUUCACAUAUAUCAGAAACGCGUGUGUGCACGCGCGCGCACACACACAUACACACAUGCACGCAUGCACGCACAUCAAACAAAUUUAAAGAUAUGUGUAUGCUCUCGACCUUGAUUAGAUCAUUUAACACUCGCACAGGUAUCAAUCAGCUCAUUACAUGCUUCCCUGGCAUAUGUCCAGGGAAGGCAAUGGUAGAAACUAAAAUACUGAGAAUCGAGGGUGACACAGGUCUGCUCCACUUCGUCUUUUUCUCCACUUCUUCUCCGUGUCUUUGGAACUAUGUUAACAGGGAAUGUUAGUUACUUAACGAUUCAACUUCAUUGUAUGCUGUGAAGCAGAGGCUUCUAAACAUAACUUUAGCUUGACUUUGGUGUUUGAGUCUUUUAAAAAUACUUUCCAAUUAGUAUUUUGACAUUAUUUUUCCUCAGAGUGAAGCGGAUCACAGUAAUUUCUAUUUCAGAGCAAGACAUGUGGGAAGAAAAUGUACAACUCUUUGAUGAAAAUUAUUUUCUAUUUAAUAACUUUGAAUAUUUCACAAGAAAAAGAGAUCUAUGUUAAAAAUCAAGCAGGUUUCUUGUAGCAUUAUAUUCUCUGUAUUAAAAACUUUAUGCAUCCAAAUGAUAGAUUUUCUAGGUUUUGAUGAACGCAUUAUCACCUAUAGAACCAGCACCACACCCAGGAAUAUGCAUAAACCUGUGUUGGCUAGUUUUAUGUCAACUUGGCACAAGCUAGAGUCACUUGGGAAGAGGGACCUUAGUUGAGAGGUGUUCCCACCAAACAGGCCUGUGGGCAAGCCCCGGGGUGCUUUGUCUUGACUGAUGAUUGAUUUAGAGUGUUCUGCUCACUGGCGGUGAUGCCAUACCUCGUCUGGUGGACCUGUCCUGGAUGUUAUAGCAAGAUCCAGACCAGCCAAGGCUACAGAGUGAGACCCCAUCUUAAGAGGGGGAAGGUCACUUGCUGAAUGGUAGGCGGUACCCAGCCUGCCACUCUUUCUUAGCUGCGAAAAGAGAUUUUUUAAAAAAAAGUUACACAUUUAAACAAUUAAAUCAAGUCUCAUUUAUCCCAGGUUGGCCUCAAACUUGCAAAUGUAGUAGAGGAUGGCCCUGAACUCUGUUUCCCUCACUUCCACUUCCAGAAGGUUAGAAUUACAGACACACACCACCACACCUGGUUAUCUAGUGCCGGAGACCGAACCCAGGGAGUCGUGCAUACAAGGCAACGGAACUCCGCCAGAUAAAAACGAAAUAGGCAUUUUGUGAAAAAUCCCUUACUUGGUAGCCUUAGGCUCUGCCCUACUGUCCUAUUUAUAAAUCUUUCCAUCAGUUCGGCCCUGCCCAAAUAUCUGCAGCUUAUUUUACACCCAGAUAUGGCACAACCUGUCAGAGAGAGGAGAAAGGGCCGUCUGUAUCUUGUUCUUUUGUUCACAUAGGCACACUUGUCAGGAACAAAAUUUUAUUUUCCUUGAAAAACUGAGAGGUGUUGAACCAGGGGUAGUGCCACGCCUU